Molecule: non-coding RNA, 219 nt
Organism: Cinara cedri
Lineage: Eukaryota; Metazoa; Arthropoda; Insecta; Hemiptera; Aphididae
Source: the annotation of a GenBank genome assembly
UCAAGCGGCCAAUUAAAUUUUUUUUACGUUUCAUUAUAUAAAUGUGCCUUAUUUUAACUUCUUCUAGGACUGCUUUGUUUGUUAUCUUUUCCAUCCGGUAUGUCUCCGUUAUUCACCAUCUUAAUCAUAUAUAUGUUACCACCAAUCGCUCACUACGGUGUACCGAAGUACUGAGUAGAGACGUGACGUUUUUGAAAAUCUACAAAGGAAGUGUGAGCU